RNAcentral lists this ribosomal RNA (301 nucleotides) under uncultured bacterium. Its description in RNAcentral is "partial 16S ribosomal RNA". It matches the Rfam family "Bacterial small subunit ribosomal RNA", at positions 509 to 807 of the family's 1533-position model. The record is from RNAcentral.
CAGUAGCCGCGGUAAUACGUAGGGUGCAAGCGUUAAUCGGAAUUACUGGGCGUAAAGCGUGCGCAAGCGGUUAUAUAAGUCAGAUGUGAAAUCCCCGGGCUCAACCUGGGAACUGCAUUCGAGACUGUAUGGCUAGAGUGUGUCAGAGGGGGGUAGAAUUCCACGUGUAGCAGUGAAAUGCGUAGAUAUGUGGAGGAAUACCGAUGGCGAAGGCAGCCCCCUGGGAUAACACUGACGCUCAUGCACGAAAGCGUGGGGAGCAAACAGGAUUAGAUACCCCAGUAGUCCCUGUCUCUUAUAC